CAGGCCUAACACAUGCAAGUCGAACGAAGAUCAGGAGCUUGCUCCUGUAAUUAGUGGCGAACGGGUGAGUAACACCUGAGUAUCCUGCCCCCUGACGCUGGGAAUAAAGCUGUCUGGAAACGAAGCGUCUUAAUUCACUGGAAAUAUGUAUUCACCGGCCCACAGUGGUGCUGACUCGGUGGAAACUAUGUUUCUGUGUAGAGGGAAUGGACUGCUCCGGACCUAUCAACUUGUUGGUGAGGUAGCUGGCUCACGCAGGCGACCACUGUGUAGCUGGACUAAGAUGGUGACUGGACAGGUGGGACUAAGAGACGGACAUGACUCCUACGGGAGGCAGCGGUGGGGAAUAUAGCACGGUGGGCGCAUCCUCAUGCAGUAACGCCUCUUUAAGGAUGGUCGUCUUAUGGUUGUACACCUCUUAUAGGAAGGAAGAACCGAAAGUGACUGUACCUGCGUAAUAAGCACCGGCUAACUACGUGCCAGCAGCCGCG
Molecule: ribosomal RNA, 491 nt
Filed under: uncultured bacterium
Lineage: Bacteria
Description: bacterial SSU rRNA
Rfam family: Bacterial small subunit ribosomal RNA
Source: RNAcentral